GUGUCUAUAGUGUAGUGGUUAUCACGUUUGCAUCACACGCAAAAGGUCACCAGUUCGAACCUGGUUAGACGCA
This 73-nucleotide transfer RNA is filed under the name Enterospora canceri. It matches the Rfam family "tRNA". From Rfam's summary of the family: Transfer RNA (tRNA) molecules are approximately 80 nucleotides in length. Their secondary structure includes four short double-helical elements and three loops (D, anti-codon, and T loops). Lineage: Eukaryota; Fungi; Microsporidia; Enterocytozoonidae. The record is from Rfam by way of RNAcentral.